Molecule: long non-coding RNA, 1232 nt
Filed under: Homo sapiens (human)
Lineage: Eukaryota; Metazoa; Chordata; Mammalia; Primates; Hominidae
Description: HSALNT0405429
Source: RNAcentral
AAAGGGUUAGUAACGGUGGGGAACUGUUUGCACCCCGAAGCCUGAAAGAGUGAAGUAGGGUGGGAUUACCUGGAAAGAGAGAGAGAGACAGAAGGAGAAUGAGAUUGAGGGAAGGGCUGCCUGGCAGGGGAAGCUGACGCCUUCAGGCAAGUGAAGAAGCCAGCCCGCAGCAACUCUGCAGGGAAGAAUAUAGGGAAAUAAACGCCUUCAUCUCUCUCUUGUCCCACCCGCAGAGCUCCUUCUGGGAUUCUCUAUUGGCUGAACUCAGCCAGAAGCUGCCAAGGGAGACCCCCACAACUGGAUGCAGCCCACUGAAGUCAGCUUCCUGGGGUGCGUAGCUGAAGGUAGCAGGGAGCAAAAAGAAUCUGAAGGGGAAGUGAACAAUGUAGAGCGUAUCUGUGCUGAAGACGUAAGGAGAGAGUGGAGGUCAGAAGCUGGCAUGGUCCCUGGUGCAUGUAUCAGCCGCUAAAGCUGGAGUGGAUGAAUCAGAACUUUCCCCAUGGGAGCAUUUAUAAAAAGGGGACACCCAGCGCAGAAGAUGUUUUCCAGGGAGAUCUCGGGGAGCCCAACAAGCCAAGAAGAGCAGAGCAAAGCAUUCCAAGGAAGGACUCUAAGUCUGCAACCGAGCACACACGAGGGUAGCCUACGCAUGUACGUCUUGCAGUGAUGGCAAGGAGCAGGAGAAAGAAAGCCCAUCCAAACAAGCAUAUUGGAAGCCUAUGUAUCCCAUAAGCUGACAUCUUGUUGCCCAAAGCAUGUCAUGUGCGUGGUCCAGAGUCAGUGUUGAAGGGCUCUGCAAAAUCACAUGGUAAAGACUGUGGUUUCAGGGAGGAGUGAAGAUUUGUGCGCAUUGCUCCAAUUGACAACCAUGGCACUAGGCUCAGGCCACACUUCUUCCUAACAAGAGAGCAAGUCAAAGCGUGGUUAGUUAAAGUCCAUACAAAAACUCACUUUAACAGGCCUCCUCUGGAUUGAACAGCUGAUAUUAAGUCAUAAGGUACCACAUCAGAAAGAUACUGGGUAUCUUUGGUUCAGCAAUUCCAUCACCAGGGACUUUUUCAUCCUAAGGAAAUCACUGCACGGUGGACAAAGAUAUAUGCAUAAGGAUGCUCCUUCUGGCCAAAGACCAAAAACAUAACUGGCCAUCAGUAAAAGCCAACACAAGGAAAGACCAUGUGAAUACACAGCAAGAACGUGGUGCUCUGCAAGUCAGAAACAGACCCGUCAUCAGA